UACGGAGGGUGCAAGCGUUAUCCGGAUUCACUGGGUUUAAAGGGUGCGUAGGUUGAUUGGUAAGUCAGUGGUGAAAUACUCCGACUCAAUCGGAGAACUGCCGUUGAUACUAUCAAUCUUGAAUACGGUGGAGGCGGGCGGAAUGCGUCAUGUAGUGGUGAAAUACUUAGAUAUGACGCAGAACACCCAUUGCGAAGGCAGCUCGCUACACCGGCAUUGACACUGAGGCACGAAAGCGUGGGGAUCAAACAGG
This 253-nucleotide ribosomal RNA is filed under the name uncultured bacterium. Its description in RNAcentral is "partial 16S ribosomal RNA". It matches the Rfam family "Bacterial small subunit ribosomal RNA", at positions 524 to 776 of the family's 1533-position model. The record is from RNAcentral.